GUGCUCGCUCCGGCAGCACAUACACUAAGAUUGGUCCAGAGAAGAUGUGUGUGGCCCCUGUGCAAGGACGACACGCAAAUCUGCGAAGCGUUCCGUUUAAAA
Small nuclear RNA from Jaculus jaculus (lesser Egyptian jerboa), 102 nucleotides. Lineage: Eukaryota; Metazoa; Chordata; Mammalia; Rodentia; Dipodidae. The record is from Ensembl.